RNAcentral lists this ribosomal RNA (501 nucleotides) under Babesia gibsoni. RNAcentral describes it as "SSU rRNA". It matches the Rfam family "Eukaryotic small subunit ribosomal RNA", at positions 547 to 1101 of the family's 1831-position model. The record is from RNAcentral. Lineage: Eukaryota; Apicomplexa; Aconoidasida; Piroplasmida; Babesiidae.
AUUGGAGGGCAAGUCUGGUGCCAGCAGCCGCGGUAAUUCCAGCUCCAAUAGCGUAUAUUAAACUUGUUGCAGUUAAAAAGCUCGUAGUUGAAUUUCUGCGUUGCCCGACUCGGCUACUUGCCUUGUCUGGUUUCGCUUUUGGGGUUUUCCCCUUUUUACUUUGAGAAAAUUAGAGUGUUUCAAGCAGACUUGUGUCUUGAAUACUUCAGCAUGGAAUAAUAAAGUAGGACUUUGGUUCUAUUUUGUUGGUUUGUGAACCUUAGUAAUGGUUAAUAGGAACGGUUGGGGGCAUUCGUAUUUAACUGUCAGAGGUGAAAUUCUUAGAUUUGUUAAAGACGAACUACUGCGAAAGCAUUUGCCAAGGACGUUUUCAUUAAUCAAGAACGAAAGUUAGGGGAUCGAAGACGAUCAGAUACCGUCGUAGUCCUAACCAUAAACCAUGCCGACUAGGGAUUGGAGGUCGUCAUUUUUCGACUCCUUCAGCACCUUGAGAGAAAUCAA